AUUGAACGCUGGCGGCAUGCUUUACACAUGCAAGUCGAACGGCAGCGCGGGCUUCGGCCUGGCGGCGAGUGGCGAACGGGUGAGUAAUGCAUCGGAACGUGCCCAGUAGUGGGGGAUAGCCCGGCGAAAGCCGGAUUAAUACCGCAUACGACCUGAGGGUGAAAGCGGGGGACCGAAAGGCCUCGCGCUAUUGGAGCGGCCGAUGUCGGAUUAGCUAGUUGGUGGGGUAAAGGCUUACCAAGGCGACGAUCCGUAGCUGGUCUGAGAGAACGACCAGCCACACUGGGACUGAGACACGGCCCAGACUCCUACGGGAGGCAGCAGUGGGGAAUUUUGGACAAUGGGGGCAACCCUGAUCCAGCCAUGCCGCGUGCGGGAAGAAGGCCUUCGGGUUGUAAAACGCUUUUGUUCGGGAAGAAAUCCUCUGGGCUAAUACCCCGGGGGGAUGACGGUACCGGAAGAAUAAGCACCGGCUAACUACGUG
Molecule: ribosomal RNA, 484 nt
Filed under: uncultured bacterium
Lineage: Bacteria
Description: partial 16S ribosomal RNA
Rfam family: Bacterial small subunit ribosomal RNA
Source: RNAcentral